This 303-nucleotide long non-coding RNA is filed under the name Marmota monax (woodchuck). Lineage: Eukaryota; Metazoa; Chordata; Mammalia; Rodentia; Sciuridae. The record is from RNAcentral.
AGAGCCGCAGUGCCGUAGUAGCGGGCAGGCGAGAUAGACUGCUUUCAAGCUGCGGAUCCCCCAGCAGAGGUGGAAGACCCUGGGAGCUGCCUAACGGCAGGCGGGUCGCUUUAUCUCCUAGCAGCGCACUGGAGCCGUCAUCCCCCUCCCCCGAGAAGGCUGCGCGGGCGGGAAGACGCCGAGACGCCAGCUUCGGUCCCCUUUCUGUCUUUCGGUUCCUCUUUCCUCCCAAGUAAGGGAAUAAGAUUCGAGAAAGGAGCGCCCCAGGCAACCGCGCAACCAAGUGUUGCAUAGUGAGGUAAG